RNAcentral lists this unclassified non-coding RNA (162 nucleotides) under soil metagenome. Its description in RNAcentral is "partial internal transcribed spacer 1". The record is from RNAcentral.
AAGAGACGUUGCCCUUCGGGGUAUACCUCCCACCCUUUGUUUAUUAUACCUUUGUUGCUUUGGCGGGCCCGUCCUCGGACCACCGGCUUCUGCUGGUCAGUGCCCGCCAGAGGACCUAAAACUCUGUUUGGUUAAUAUUGUCUGAGUACUAUAUAAUAGUUA